Molecule: ribosomal RNA, 160 nt
Filed under: Hyaloscyphaceae sp.
Lineage: Eukaryota; Fungi; Ascomycota; Leotiomycetes; Helotiales; Hyaloscyphaceae
Description: partial small subunit ribosomal RNA
Rfam family: Eukaryotic large subunit ribosomal RNA
Source: RNAcentral
CUGGCUCUGUCAGGGUCCGAGUUGUAAUUUGUAGAAGAUGCUUCGGGUGAGGCUCUGGUCUAAGUUCCUUGGAACAGGACGUCAUAGAGGGUGAGAAUCCCGUAUGUGACUGGCCGCCUUCGCCUAUGUGAAGCUCUUUCGACGAGUCGAGUUGUUUGGG